Molecule: non-coding RNA, 72 nt
Organism: Phrynosoma platyrhinos (Desert horned lizard)
Lineage: Eukaryota; Metazoa; Chordata; Lepidosauria; Squamata; Phrynosomatidae
Source: the annotation of a GenBank genome assembly
UCCAGCAUGGUAUAGUGGUUUAGGCUUUGGACUAUGACUCUUGAGACCAGGGUUCGAGUCCCGGUUCGGGCA